Molecule: ribosomal RNA, 440 nt
Filed under: uncultured bacterium
Lineage: Bacteria
Description: partial 16S ribosomal RNA
Rfam family: Bacterial small subunit ribosomal RNA
Source: RNAcentral
CCUACGGGAGACAGCAGUAGGGAAUAUUGCUCAAUGGGGGAAACCCUGAAGCAGCAACGCCGCGUGGAGGAUGAAGGUUUUCGGAUUUUAAACUCCUUUUGUUAGAGAAGAUAAUGACGGUAUCUAACGAAUAAGCACCGGCUAACUCCGUGCCAGCAGCCGCGGUAAUACGGAGGGUGCAAGCGUUACUCGGAAUCACUGGGCGUAAAGAGCGCGUAGGCGGGAUAGCAAGUCAGAUGUGAAAUCCUAUGGCUUAACCAUAGAACUGCAUUUGAAACUGUUAUUCUAGAGUAUGGGAGAGGUAGGUGGAAUUCUUGGUGUAGGAGUAAAAUCCGUAGAGAUCAAGAGGAAUACUCAUUGCGAAGGCGACCUGCUAGAACAUAACUGACGCUGAUGCGCGAAAGCGUGGGGAGCAAACAGGAUUAGAUACCCGAGUAGUC